Molecule: small nuclear RNA, 121 nt
Filed under: Bactrocera tryoni
Lineage: Eukaryota; Metazoa; Arthropoda; Insecta; Diptera; Tephritidae
Description: U5 spliceosomal RNA
Rfam family: U5 spliceosomal RNA
About the family: U5 RNA is a component of both types of known spliceosome. The precise function of this molecule is unknown, though it is known that the 5' loop is required for splice site selection and p220 binding, and that both the 3' stem-loop and the Sm site are important for Sm protein binding and cap methylation.
Source: RNAcentral
UUACCUUGACUUCUCUUCAGUUGUCGAAUAAAUCUUUCGCCUUUUACCAAAGAUUUCCGUGGAGAGGAGUAAUUAAUGGGUCUAUAAAAAUUUUUGUCAAAUGCUCAACUUUCCUUGCGAG